This is a small nucleolar RNA of Pygocentrus nattereri (red-bellied piranha), 123 nucleotides long. Ensembl annotates it as Small nucleolar RNA SNORA26. Lineage: Eukaryota; Metazoa; Chordata; Actinopteri; Characiformes; Serrasalmidae. The record is from Ensembl.
UUGCCCAUUUAAGACCAUCAUGUCCUAAGUGGUUAACACAGGGGGGUAGAAGAACUCUCUCUAAAAAUAACCUGAAGUGAAGGCUGAAUACUCCUUCCUUUGGACCUGUCGGGAGAAACACCU